RNAcentral lists this long non-coding RNA (2279 nucleotides) under Setaria italica (foxtail millet). RNAcentral's name for it is "long non-coding RNA (SITA_LNC002644)". Lineage: Eukaryota; Viridiplantae; Streptophyta; Magnoliopsida; Poales; Poaceae. The record is from RNAcentral.
UACUUGGCGAAUUUAUAUUGUCUCAAGUUGAGCUGGUAAUUCUCGUGUAUAAAGAAACUUUGAAUGUUGUUUUACUAGUCGGAGUGAAUGGAAGACUCGCACAUAUUUCUAUACUGCCCUGAUGAUAUUGACAUCUGUUUAAUUUAUGCAAACUCAAAUAGUAGUCUAAAUUACCUAUAACCACUUAAACCAUAGUUCAUUUACUUUGUGCAUCCAGGGGCGGAUCCAGGGCCCGGGCUGCAGCCUGGGGCGAGACCAUGGAGUCCCUUUAACCUAUGUGCUGUUUAGCCUAACAAAAUGAGGCUUAGGAGACAAAAUUAGACUAUUUUAGGUGUGAUUCAACAGCUCAGCCCGGGGCGCAGCCCCAUUCUGAAUCCGCUCCUGUGUGCAUCCAUUUACUUCAUUUACCUGCAACCACUUAUACCAAAAUGUGCCUGCUCUGCCCUGAUGCACCAGAUACAUUUUGGUACUAAUAGGUACUUUUCCAGUAGUGGGCAUCCUUUCAGGUUUCAUAAACUGUAAAGGCAUAAACACAUGUGAGCCUCAUAAACUCACACCAUAUUUAAGGUAUAUGGGCUCAUUUUCCCACAAUAUAUAUUCAACUCAAAAGUUUACCAUACUUGUGAUUUAUGUAUUGUUUAUGUCAACAAUAAAUCUUUAUUCCAUCUUGUUGUCUUCCAUGCACAAGGAAAACCCUGAUGUGAUAAUUUGAUGUUAAACAGCUGGAAAGUGAUGUUUCUCGACUUCGUAGCUGCAAAAAUAUGAUUGGUUCUACACUACACAUUACCUUCCCUUUGUCCAGCAUUGAUGGAUGUCUAGACAGGUUUGAUUUGCUUCCGAAUUCUUCCUUCUUGGAACUCUUUUCCCCCUAUGACAGUUGAGUUUUGAUAGUUUAAUCUCAUGUGUUUAGUACAGUGUAUGUAUGUUACACAUAUUUGCUCUUUUUCUAAGGAAAUUGCACUUUUUAGAUCAUCUUCAUUACAUUAUUUGGAAUGCACAGUUGGGCUUUUAGCCUACUCCAUCCAUCUUCUAUGCAUGCUUAUUUAUUUUCGUAGUGUUCAUGUUUGUCACGAGAGUACAUUACCAAAUGCACUCAACUAUACUGACUACUCUCUCUGUUCCAAACUAUAAGGUGGUUUUGGCAUUUCAAAUUUCAUAGUUUGUGGAUGAUCUAUGAUCCCUUUAUGUUUGUGGAUGUCCACCCAUGAUUCUUAUUUAAUUUUGAGGAAAUUUUGCCGCUUGAUGAUUCAUAGACAGUUGUCAUGCUGGACUGCUUACACAUGGUUAUAUAUUGGUCAGACAUUCACCUUCUAUAAUGUAUGUCUACUUCUGAAUUAUAAUGUAUGUCAUACAUUUUUAUUUGUUACUUCUCUAAGAAAACUGCACCUCCAAGGUUGCACCUCCAAGGUCAUCUUGGUUAUGUUAUUUUUAUAAAUCCCUUGUUUGUCUUGGAAUGUUAAUUCAGACUUUUAGCCCUUCAUCAUAUUAGCAUGCUCGUUUGACGUUUACCACAAGAGCACAGGAUAAGACUUAGUUCAAUCUCGAAAUGCAAGUUUGACUUGUAGAAGCAUAUGUACGGCAGAUUAUAUGUUGAGAAUACAGUUGUGCAUCAAGGAAACAAAUGAGCACUCUAAACAAAGUUCUGAGUGUCUCAUGUUUUAACUGGACUUUGACCAACAUUUGAACAAAUCUCUGUUUGAAUUCUUUCUAGUAGUUUGUGGAUUUCCACCCAUGAAUCACUUGCAGAAAUUUAUCCCCUACCCAAUGAACUUUACUUUUCUCGGAUUCGUGAACAUUCAGACUGCUGAUACACACUUAUAAACAAUAGUUCAAACACUCUGUUUUUUAUGGAUGCACUGUAUAUAUCAUCUAGUUUAUGCUUUAUUAAAGAAGUAAUUAUGUUAGUACUGCUCUGCAUUAUUCACCUCAGUUUUAGUGCAUAAUUUUUUUAGGCAAAGUUUUAGUGUAUAAUUUGGACUGGUCAUUGUGCAUUCCAUGAUACUGAUCCGUUAUUUCUAGAAUUUUUUAAGCUAACCACGAUACUUUUUGUUUAUACCAAUUUUUAUGUUUCAUCUAAGUACUUUGUUAGCUUGGAAACUGUUUUAUAAAUUUAACUGAGAGCUACUGUGUUUGUCUAGUUUAACAUUAUUUGAUUUGAUCUGGAACUACAGCAGGUUGUCUGACGAGGGCUCAGAUCUGCUACAAAAUGCUAUUGUAAAUUUUGCGAAUAUCAUUAUUGGUGACAUUGCCAUCAAUCUUGCUACUCUCGAAAGAGGAAU